Molecule: ribosomal RNA, 253 nt
Filed under: uncultured bacterium
Lineage: Bacteria
Description: partial 16S ribosomal RNA
Rfam family: Bacterial small subunit ribosomal RNA
Source: RNAcentral
UACGGAGGGCGCGAGUGUUACCCGGAUUUACUGGGCGUAAAGGGCGUGUAGGCGGCUUGGGUCGUCCCAUGUGAAAGGCCACGGCUCAACCGUGGAGGAGCGUGGGAUACGCUCAGGCUAGACGGUGGGAGAGGGUGGUGGAGUUGCCGGAGUAGCGGUGAAAUGCGUAGAUACCGGGCGGAACCCCGAUGGCGAAGGCAGCCACCUGGUCCGCAUGUGACGCUGAGGCGCGAAAGCGUGGGGAGCGAACCGG